GUUUCCGUCCCCUUGCGGGGAAGAGAUAAGGAAUGAC
This is a non-coding RNA of Oscillatoriales cyanobacterium, 37 nucleotides long. Lineage: Bacteria; Bacillati; Cyanobacteriota; Cyanophyceae; Oscillatoriales. The record is from Rfam.